AUUUAUAUAGUUUAUUUAAAACAUUACAUUUUCAUUGUAAAAAAAAAAUUUUUUUUUAUAAAUA
Molecule: transfer RNA, 64 nt
Filed under: Drepana arcuata
Lineage: Eukaryota; Metazoa; Arthropoda; Insecta; Lepidoptera; Drepanidae
Description: tRNA-Glu
Source: RNAcentral